AGCUUUUCGAAUUCGUGCUGAGAUUUCGUCAGACACCAACCUAUUAGGGCUGACCAGACUUGCAAGGUACGUGAAAUU
This 78-nucleotide microRNA precursor is filed under the name Schistosoma mattheei. RNAcentral describes it as "mir-3492 microRNA precursor family". It matches the Rfam family "mir-3492 microRNA precursor family". Lineage: Eukaryota; Metazoa; Platyhelminthes; Trematoda; Strigeidida; Schistosomatidae. The record is from Rfam by way of RNAcentral.